UACGUAGGGUGCAAGCGUUGUCCGGAAUUAUUGGGCGUAAAGAGCUCGUAGGCGGUCUGUCGCGUCUGCUGUGAAAACUCAGGGCUUAACCCUGAGCUUGCAGUGGGUACGGGCAGACUAGAGUGCGGUAGGGGAGACUGGAAUUCCUGGUGUAGCGGUGAAAUGCGCAGAUAUCAGGAGGAACACCGAUGGCGAAGGCAGGUCUCUGGGCCGAUACUGACGCUGAGGAGCGAAAGCGUGGGGAGCGAACAGG
This 253-nucleotide ribosomal RNA is filed under the name uncultured bacterium. RNAcentral's name for it is "partial 16S ribosomal RNA". It matches the Rfam family "Bacterial small subunit ribosomal RNA", at positions 524 to 776 of the family's 1533-position model. The record is from RNAcentral.